CCUACGGGAGGCAGCAGUAAGGAAUAUUGGUCAAUGGAGGCAACUCUGAACCAGCCAUGCCGCGUGCAGGAAGACUGCCCUAUGGGUUGUAAACUGCUUUUAUCCGGGAAUAAACCUCUCUACGUGUAGGGAGCUGAAUGUACCGGAAGAAUAAGGAUCGGCUAACUCCGUGCCAGCAGCCGCGGUAAUACGGAGGAUCCAAGCGUUAUCCGGAUUUAUUGGGUUUAAAGGGUGCGUAGGCGGCCUGUUAAGUCAGGGGUGAAAGACGGUAGCUCAACUAUCGCAGUGCCCUUGAUACUGACGGGCUUGAAUAGACUAGAGGUAGGCGGAAUGAGACAAGUAGCGGUGAAAUGCAUAGAUAUGUCUCAGAACACCGAUUGCGAAGGCAGCUUACUAUGGUCUUAUUGACGCUGAGGCACGAAAGCGUGGGGAGUCAAACAGGAUUAGAUACCCUGGUAGUCCACGCCCUAAACGAUGAACACUCGCUGUUGGCGAUACACAGUCAGCGGCUAAGCGAAAGCGUUAAGUGUUCCACCUGGGGAGUACGGUCGCGAGAUUGAACGUCAAAGGAAGUUGACGG
This 580-nucleotide ribosomal RNA is filed under the name uncultured bacterium. RNAcentral's name for it is "bacterial SSU rRNA". It matches the Rfam family "Bacterial small subunit ribosomal RNA", at positions 338 to 916 of the family's 1533-position model. The record is from RNAcentral.